RNAcentral lists this ribosomal RNA (497 nucleotides) under uncultured bacterium. Its description in RNAcentral is "partial 16S ribosomal RNA". It matches the Rfam family "Bacterial small subunit ribosomal RNA", at positions 28 to 507 of the family's 1533-position model. The record is from RNAcentral.
GAUGAACGCUGGCGGCGUGCCUAAUACAUGCAAGUCGAGCGAACAGACGAGGAGCUUGCUCCUCUGACGUUAGCGGCGGACGGGUGAGUAACACGUGGAUAACCUACCUAUAAGACUGGGAUAACUUCGGGAAACCGGAGCUAAUACCGGAUAAUAUAUUGAACCGCAUGGUUCAAUAGUGAAAGACGGUUUUGCUGUCACUUAUAGAUGGAUCCGCGCCGCAUUAGCUAGUUGGUACGGUAACGGCUUACCAAGGCGACGAUGCGUAGCCGACCUGAGAGGGUGAACGGCCACACUGGAACUGAGACACGGUCCCGACUCCUACGGGAGGACGCAGUAGGGAAUCUUCCGCAAUGGGCGAAAGCCUGACGGAGCAACGCCGCGGGAGUGAUGAAGGUCUUAGGAUCGUAAAACUCUGUUAUUAGGGAAGAACAAAUGUGUAAGUAACUAUGAACGUAUUGACGGUACCUAAUCAGAAAGCCACGGCUAACUACGUG